Molecule: ribosomal RNA, 237 nt
Filed under: uncultured Gammaproteobacteria bacterium
Lineage: Bacteria; Pseudomonadati; Pseudomonadota; Gammaproteobacteria
Description: partial 16S ribosomal RNA
Rfam family: Bacterial small subunit ribosomal RNA
Source: RNAcentral
GAGUUUGAUCAUGGCUCAGAUUGAACGCUGGCGGCAUGCCUAACACAUGCAAGUCGAACGGCAGCAUGAGGUGUAGCAAUACACCUUGAUGGCGAGUGGCGGACGGGUGAGGAAUGCAUCGGAAUCUGCCCAGUCGUGGGGGAUAACGUAGGGAAACUUACGCUAAUACCGCAUACGACCGUGAGUGAGAGCGGGGGAUACGAAAGACCUCGCGCGAUUGGAUGAGCCGAUGCCGGA